This 1520-nucleotide ribosomal RNA is filed under the name Klebsiella pneumoniae. RNAcentral describes it as "bacterial SSU rRNA". It matches the Rfam family "Bacterial small subunit ribosomal RNA". The record is from RNAcentral. Lineage: Bacteria; Pseudomonadati; Pseudomonadota; Gammaproteobacteria; Enterobacterales; Enterobacteriaceae.
AGAGUUUGAUCAUGGCUCAGAUUGAACGCUGGCGGCAGGCCUAACACAUGCAAGUCGAGCGGUAGCACAGAGAGCUUGCUCUCGGGUGACGAGCGGCGGACGGGUGAGUAAUGUCUGGGAAACUGCCUGAUGGAGGGGGAUAACUACUGGAAACGGUAGCUAAUACCGCAUAAUGUCGCAAGACCAAAGUGGGGGACCUUCGGGCCUCAUGCCAUCAGAUGUGCCCAGAUGGGAUUAGCUAGUAGGUGGGGUAACGGCUCACCUAGGCGACGAUCCCUAGCUGGUCUGAGAGGAUGACCAGCCACACUGGAACUGAGACACGGUCCAGACUCCUACGGGAGGCAGCAGUGGGGAAUAUUGCACAAUGGGCGCAAGCCUGAUGCAGCCAUGCCGCGUGUGUGAAGAAGGCCUUCGGGUUGUAAAGCACUUUCAGCGGGGAGGAAGGCGUUAAGGUUAAUAACCUUGGCGAUUGACGUUACCCGCAGAAGAAGCACCGGCUAACUCCGUGCCAGCAGCCGCGGUAAUACGGAGGGUGCAAGCGUUAAUCGGAAUUACUGGGCGUAAAGCGCACGCAGGCGGUCUGUCAAGUCGGAUGUGAAAUCCCCGGGCUCAACCUGGGAACUGCAUUCGAAACUGGCAGGCUAGAGUCUUGUAGAGGGGGGUAGAAUUCCAGGUGUAGCGGUGAAAUGCGUAGAGAUCUGGAGGAAUACCGGUGGCGAAGGCGGCCCCCUGGACAAAGACUGACGCUCAGGUGCGAAAGCGUGGGGAGCAAACAGGAUUAGAUACCCUGGUAGUCCACGCCGUAAACGAUGUCGAUUUGGAGGUUGUGCCCUUGAGGCGUGGCUUCCGGAGCUAACGCGUUAAAUCGACCGCCUGGGGAGUACGGCCGCAAGGUUAAAACUCAAAUGAAUUGACGGGGGCCCGCACAAGCGGUGGAGCAUGUGGUUUAAUUCGAUGCAACGCGAAGAACCUUACCUGGUCUUGACAUCCACAGAACUUAGCAGAGAUGGUUUGGUGCCUUCGGGAACUGUGAGACAGGUGCUGCAUGGCUGUCGUCAGCUCGUGUUGUGAAAUGUUGGGUUAAGUCCCGCAACGAGCGCAACCCUUAUCCUUUGUUGCCAGCGGUCCGGCCGGGAACUCAAAGGAGACUGCCAGUGAUAAACUGGAGGAAGGUGGGGAUGACGUCAAGUCAUCAUGGCCCUUACGACCAGGGCUACACACGUGCUACAAUGGCAUAUACAAAGAGAAGCGACCUCGCGAGAGCAAGCGGACCUCAUAAAGUAUGUCGUAGUCCGGAUUGGAGUCUGCAACUCGACUCCAUGAAGUCGGAAUCGCUAGUAAUCGUAGAUCAGAAUGCUACGGUGAAUACGUUCCCGGGCCUUGUACACACCGCCCGUCACACCAUGGGAGUGGGUUGCAAAAGAAGUAGGUAGCUUAACCUUCGGGAGGGCGCUUACCACUUUGUGAUUCAUGACUGGGGUGAAGUCGUAACAAGGUAACCGUAGGGGAACCUGCGGUUG